GAUGAACGCUGGCGGCGUGCCUAAUACAUGCAAGUCGAGCGAACAGACGAGGAGCUUGCUCCUCUGACGUUAGCGGCGGACGGGUGAGUAACACGUGGAUAACCUACCUAUAAGACUGGGAUAACUUCGGGAAACCGGAGCUAAUACCGGAUAAUAUAUUGAGCCGCAUGGUUCAAUAGUGAAAGACGGUUUCGCUGUCACUUAUAGAUGGAUCCGCGCCGCAUUAGCUAGUUGGUAAGGUAACGGCUUACCAAGGCAACGAUGCGUAGCCGACCUGAGAGGGUGAUCGGCCACACUGGAACUGAGACACGGUCCAGACUCCUACGGGAGGCAGCAGUAGGGAAUCUUCCGCAAUGGGCGAAAGCCUGACGGAGCAACGCCGCGUGAGUGAUGAAGGUCUUCGGAUCGUAAAACUCUGUUAUUAGGGAAGAACAAAUGUGUAAGUAACUAUGCACGUCUUGACGGUACCUAAUCAGAAAGCCACGGCUAACUACGUG
Molecule: ribosomal RNA, 497 nt
Filed under: uncultured bacterium
Lineage: Bacteria
Description: partial 16S ribosomal RNA
Rfam family: Bacterial small subunit ribosomal RNA
Source: RNAcentral